RNAcentral lists this ribosomal RNA (640 nucleotides) under uncultured Gloeocapsa sp. RNAcentral describes it as "bacterial SSU rRNA". It matches the Rfam family "Bacterial small subunit ribosomal RNA", at positions 140 to 812 of the family's 1533-position model. The record is from RNAcentral. Lineage: Bacteria; Bacillati; Cyanobacteriota; Cyanophyceae; Chroococcidiopsidales; Chroococcidiopsidaceae.
GGGACAACGGUUGGAAACGACCGCUAAUUCCCAAUAAGCCGAGAGGUAAAACAGAAUCUGCCCGAAGAGGGGCUCGCGUCUGAUUAGCUAGUUGGUGGGGUAAGAGCUUACCAAGGCAGCGAUCAGUAGCUGGUCUGAGAGGAUGAGCAGCCACACUGGGACUGAGACACGGCCCAGACUCCUACGGGAGGCAGCAGUGGGGAAUUUUCCGCAAUGGGCGAAAGCCUGACGGAGCAAGACCGCGUGAGGGAGGAAGGCCUUUGGGUUGUAAACCUCUUUUCUCAGGGAAGAAGCAAGUGACGGUACCUGAGGAAUCAGCCUCGGCUAACUCCGUGCCAGCAGCCGCGGUAAUACGGAGGAGGCAAGCGUUAUCCGGAAUUAUUGGGCGUAAAGCGUCCGCAGGUGGUGAUUCAAGUCCGCUGUCAAAGACCGGGGCUCAACCCUGGGCCGGCAGUAGAAACUGAAGCACUAGAGUUCGGUAGGGGUAGAGGGAAUUCCCAGUGUAGCGGUGAAAUGCGUAGAGAUUGGGAAGAACACCAGUGGCGAAAGCGCUCUACUGGGCCGAGACUGACACUCAGGGACGAAAGCUAGGGGAGCGAAAGGGAUUAGAUACCCCUGUAGUCCUAGCCGUAAACGAUGA